RNAcentral lists this transfer RNA (69 nucleotides) under Gymnura poecilura (longtail butterfly ray). RNAcentral's name for it is "tRNA-Ala". It matches the Rfam family "tRNA". From Rfam's summary of the family: Transfer RNA (tRNA) molecules are approximately 80 nucleotides in length. Their secondary structure includes four short double-helical elements and three loops (D, anti-codon, and T loops). Further hydrogen bonds mediate the characteristic L-shaped molecular structure. tRNAs have two regions of fundamental functional importance: the anti-codon, which is responsible for specific mRNA codon recognition, and the 3' end, to which the tRNAs corresponding amino acid is attached (by aminoacyl-tRNA synthetases). tRNAs cope with the degeneracy of the genetic code in two manners: having more than one tRNA (with a specific anti-codon) for a particular amino acid; and 'wobble' base-pairing, i.e. permitting non-standard base-pairing at the 3rd anti-codon position. Lineage: Eukaryota; Metazoa; Chordata; Chondrichthyes; Myliobatiformes; Gymnuridae. The record is from RNAcentral.
GAGACUUUAGCUUAAUUAAAGUGUCUGAGUUGCAUUCAGAAGAUAUGAGAUAAAGUCUUGUAGGUCUUA